RNAcentral lists this ribosomal RNA (492 nucleotides) under uncultured bacterium. RNAcentral's name for it is "partial 16S ribosomal RNA". It matches the Rfam family "Bacterial small subunit ribosomal RNA", at positions 29 to 507 of the family's 1533-position model. The record is from RNAcentral.
AGUGAACGCUGGCGGUAGGCCUAACACAUGCAAGUCGAACGGCAGCACAGUAAGAGCUUGCUCUUACGGGUGGCGAGUGGCGGACGGGUGAGGAAUACAUCGGAAUCUACUUUUUCGUGGGGGAUAACGUAGGGAAACUUACGCUAAUACCGCAUACGACCUACGGGUGAAAGCAGGGGAUCUUCGGACCUUGCUCGAUUGAAUGAGCCGAUGUCGGAUUAGCUAGUUGGCGGGGUAAAGGCCCACCAAGGCGACGAUCCGUAGCUGGUCUGAGAGGAUGAUCAGCCACACUGGAACUGAGACACGGUCCAGACUCCUACGGGAGGCAGCAGUGGGGAAUAUUGGACAAUGAGCGCAAGCCUGAUCCAGCCAUACCGCGUGGGUGAAGAAGGCCUUCGGGUUGUAAAGCCCUUUUGUUGGGAAAGAAAAGCAGCAGGUUAAUACCCCGCUGUUCUGACGGUACCCAAAGAAUAAGCACCGGCUAACUUCGUG